This is a long non-coding RNA of Mastomys coucha (southern multimammate mouse), 782 nucleotides long. RefSeq lists it as uncharacterized. NCBI's taxonomy places the organism in Eukaryota, Metazoa, Chordata, Mammalia, Rodentia, Muridae. The transcript is spliced from 4 exons. The record is from RefSeq and is a predicted model, not a curated record.
AGUUACUCUACACUGACUUGAGGAAGUUUCUCCUUCUCCUUUUUGGACUCUUAUCAUGGAUGACACAUUCACAACACUUAAAAAGAAGGAAACAGCAAAGACCGGCCACAUUCCUGAACUGCAGUGAGCAUUCAUUUUCUGGAAGACUGCACCAUGGAAGGAAACCAACUCACACUAACAAUGAGGAAACUGGACAGCCAGUGAUAAGGAAACAUCAUCUUUAAUCUUUGAUAUUCAUCAUAGUACUGAAUACCUCGGGUUAUGGUUCAGAGAAAGCAAUUUGUUGGAGAUGCCAAUCAGCAAUGGGAAAAGGGCCUCCAUCUAGUCCUUACUAACUGACAAAUGGGAAACCGGAGACUCCCCAGGCCUCGAGAAGGAAAUGCUACAGGGGUAUCCCAGUGUGAGCAUCUGGCCAUCGCUGUAGACCUGGUGUGCUGUGGAGUGCUCGUUCUGACACACGGGAGGAAAAGGCCAGAGUGAAUACAAGCGUCCCCACAGUAAGAGGCUGGAGGGCCUCUUGCUUUCAGGAACGAAACAAGCCAACACCCAGCAUGCCUGCCCAACCUCUCAUACUCUGCUUGCGUUUUUCAUGGACUGGAACCUGGCCAUGGGCUUCUCCUCCCCAAAUCCGACCAAUCACAAUUCCCAAAUAACUACCCUGGCUAUUGGCAACCCCAACCCUCAAACCACACACACUUUCUCAAACUACCUAUAAUUAUCCAGUUACUUAUAAAUGACAGCAUUGCCUUUUUAAAUAGCUACAAAGUUGAUUUGAACUACUA